GAGUCAUGGUGAGGUCGAAUGGGUGAAGUUGGGUCGAAAGUCGCUUGAACAACCAGUGGCCGCGGUCCGGACUCACACAACCGCAUGUGGGACAUGUUUGGCCAUGGUCACGAGUAUGGAACCAUGAUCAAGGUAGGGUUGGCUGUGGUCCAGACUCAUGCGACCGUGGGGGCUUAAAUGCGGCCUAUUCCUGCUUCUCCUUGGUUCAUG
RNAcentral lists this long non-coding RNA (210 nucleotides) under Eutrema salsugineum. RNAcentral describes it as "long non-coding RNA (ESAL_LNC001341)". Lineage: Eukaryota; Viridiplantae; Streptophyta; Magnoliopsida; Brassicales; Brassicaceae. The record is from RNAcentral.